This 406-nucleotide ribosomal RNA is filed under the name uncultured bacterium. Its description in RNAcentral is "partial 16S ribosomal RNA". It matches the Rfam family "Bacterial small subunit ribosomal RNA", at positions 30 to 526 of the family's 1533-position model. The record is from RNAcentral.
AUUGAACGCUGGCGGCAGGCCUAACACAUGCAAGUCGAACGAGUGGCGGACGGGUGAGUAAUGUCUGGGAAACUGCCUGAUGGAGGGGGAUAACUACUGGAAACGGUAGCUAAUCCCGCAUACCAUCGGAUGAGCCCAGAGGGGAUUAGCUAGUAGGUGGGGUAAAGGUCAACCUAGGCGACGAUCCCUAGCUGGUCUGAGAGGAUGACCAGCCAAACGGGAAAUGAGACACGGGCCAGACUCCUACGGGAUGCAGCAUUGGGGAAUAUUGCAAAAUGGGCGCAAGCCUGAGGCAGCCAUGCCGCGUGUAUGAAGAAGGCCUUCGGGUUGUAAAGUACUUUCAGCGGGGAGGCGUUACCCGCAGAAGAAGCACCGGCUAACUCCGUGCCAGCAGCCGCGGUAAUUC